This 497-nucleotide ribosomal RNA is filed under the name uncultured bacterium. RNAcentral's name for it is "partial 16S ribosomal RNA". It matches the Rfam family "Bacterial small subunit ribosomal RNA", at positions 28 to 507 of the family's 1533-position model. The record is from RNAcentral.
GACGAACGCUGGCGGCGUGCCUAAUACAUACAAGUCGAGCGAUUAAGAUUGGUUCUUGCACCAAUUUGAAGAGCAGCGAACGGGUGAGUCACGCGUGGGGACUCUGCCUUUGAGCGUGGGAUCACAUAUGGAAACGUAUGCUAAUACCGCAUAACAACUUUAAACAUAAGUUUUAAGUUUGCAAGAUGCAUUUGCAUCACCUAAAGAUGAUUCCGCGUUGUAUUAGCUAGUUGGUGAGGUAAAGGCCCACCAAGGCGUAGGUACAUAGCCUACCUGAGCGGGUGAUUGGCCAACUUGGGAAUGGGACACGGCCCAAACUCCUACGGGGGGGAGCAGUAGGGAAACUUUGGACAUGGGCGGAAGUCUGAACGAGCAAAGCCGCGGGAGUGAAGAAGGUUUUCGGGUCUGAAAACUCUGUUGGUAGAGAAGAAAGUUGAUGAGGGUGGAAAGCUCAUCAAGUGACGGUAACUACAGAAAAAGGAACGGCUAACUACGUG